This 353-nucleotide ribosomal RNA is filed under the name uncultured bacterium. RNAcentral describes it as "bacterial SSU rRNA". It matches the Rfam family "Bacterial small subunit ribosomal RNA", at positions 8 to 350 of the family's 1533-position model. The record is from RNAcentral.
AGAGUUUGAUCCUGGCUCAGGAUGAACGCUAGCUACAGGCUUAACACAUGCAAGUCGAGGGGAAACGAUAUUGGAAGCUUGCUUCCGAUAGGCGUCGACCGGCGCACGGGUGAGUAACGCGUAUCCAACCUGCCCAUCACUUGGGGAUAACCUUGCGAAAGUAAGACUAAUACCCAAUGACGUCUCUAGAAGACAUCUGAAAGAGAUUAAAGAUUUAUCGGUGAUGGAUGGGGAUGCGUCUGAUUAGCUUGUUGGCGGGGUAACGGCCACCAAGGCGACGAUCAGUAGGGGUUCUGGAGAGGAAGGUCCCCCANAUUGGAACUGAGACACGGUCCAAACUCCUACGGGAGGCA